UACAGAGGGUGCAAGCGUUAAUCGGAAUUACUGGGCGUAAAGCGUGCGUAGACGGUUACAUAAGUCGGGUGUGAAAGCCCCGGGCUCAACCUGGGAAUUGCAUUCGAGACUGCGUAGCUAGGGUGCGGAAGAGGGAAGCGGAAUUUCCGGUGUAGCGGUGAAAUGCGUAGAUAUCAGGAGGAAUACCGAUGGCGAAGGCAGGUCUCUGGGCUGACACUGACGCUCAUGCACGAAAGCGUGGGGAGCAAACAGG
Molecule: ribosomal RNA, 253 nt
Filed under: uncultured bacterium
Lineage: Bacteria
Description: partial 16S ribosomal RNA
Rfam family: Bacterial small subunit ribosomal RNA
Source: RNAcentral